RNAcentral lists this ribosomal RNA (478 nucleotides) under uncultured bacterium. Its description in RNAcentral is "partial 16S ribosomal RNA". It matches the Rfam family "Bacterial small subunit ribosomal RNA", at positions 28 to 523 of the family's 1533-position model. The record is from RNAcentral.
GACGAACCCUGGCGGCGUGCUUAACACAUGCAAGUCGAACGGUAAGGCCCUUCGGGGUACACGAGUGGCGAACGGGUAAGUAACACGUGGGUGAUCUGCCCUGCACUUCGGGAUAAGCCUGGGAAACUGGGUCUAAUACCGGAUAGGACCACUGCCUGCAUGGGUGGUGGUGGAGAGCUUUUGCGGUGUGGGAUGGGCCCGCGGCCUAUCAGCUUGUUGGUGGGGUGAUGGCCUACCAAGGCGACGACGGGUAGCCGGCCUGAGAGGGUGACCGGCCACACUGGGACUGAGAUGCGGCCCAGACUCCUACGGGAGGCAGCAGUGGGGAAUAUUGCACAAUGGGCGCAAGCCUGAUGCAGCGACGCCGCGUGAGGGAUGACGGCCUUCGGGUUGUAAACCUCUUUCAGCACCGACGAAGCGCAAGUGACGGUAGGUGCAGAAGAAGGACCGGCCAACUACGUGCCAGCCGCCGCAGUAA